This 228-nucleotide ribosomal RNA is filed under the name uncultured bacterium. RNAcentral describes it as "partial 16S ribosomal RNA". It matches the Rfam family "Bacterial small subunit ribosomal RNA", at positions 568 to 795 of the family's 1533-position model. The record is from RNAcentral.
UGCGUAGGCGGUUUAAUAAGUCAGUGGUGAAAAACUGCAGCUUAACUGUAGAAUUGCCAUUGAUACUGUUAGUCUUGAGUACGGUCAAGGUAGGCGGAAUGUGUAAUGUAGCGGUGAAAUGCUUAGAUAUUACACAGAACACCGAUUGAGAAGGCAGCUUACUGGGCCAUUACUGACGCUGAGGCACGAAAGCGUGGGUAGCGAACAGGAUUAGAUACCCUGGUAGUC